GCAGCCGGCCGGGCCAGGGAGCGUGGCUUGUUCGAGGAGGUGGAUCACCCUUUCUGCGGUGGACGAUUUCGUCGGUCGUGGAAUUUUGGAGUCUGUAUUCUCUGAAGUGUGUAGAAGGAAAGAAUGACGGAAGUCAUCUUAGCCUCAGCAGGAAAGCUGGAGCUCCCACCCAAAGUUGGAGGAAAUUCAGGGUCCCCGAAGUCUUUGCUCUCCCCAUCUGCAUGCAGGCUGCUACCAUGAGGUUGAAUCAGAACACCUUGCUGCUGGGGAAGAAGGUGGUCCUUGUACCCUACACCUCGGAGCAUGUGCCCAGCAGGUACCACGAGUGGAUGAAAUCAGAAGAGCUGCAGCGUUUGACAGCCUCAGAGCCGCUGACCCUGGAGCAGGAGUAUGCCAUGCAGCGCAGCUGGCAGGAAGAUGCAGACAAGUGUACCUUCAUUGUGCUGGAUGCCGAGAAGUGGCAGGCCCAGCCAGGCGCCACCGAAGACAGCUGCAUGGUGGGAGAUGUAAACCUCUUCCUCACAGAUCUAGAAGACCCCACCUUGGGGGAGAUCGAGGUCAUGAUUGCAGAACCCAGCUGCAGGCGUAAGGGCCUUGGCACUGAGGCCGUUCUCGCGAUGCUGUCUUACGGUAAGAAAGUGUGAGCAGGCAAUGCGGGAAGUGGCCAGGCCCCAGGUGAACCUUGUUCAGGUCUGAGGGUUGCGGGCAGGUGAAGGUUCCUCCUCGGCAACUUGGGACAGGAGGGGUGGGGGCAGGCGCCUCCUUACUUGCCCCUGUCUCAUCUCCUUUGCGAGGAGUGACCACGCUAGGUCUAACCAAGUUUGAGGCUAAAAUUGGGCAAGGAAAUGAACCAAGCAUCCGGAUGUUCCAGAAACUUCACUUUGAGCAGGUGGCUGCGAGCAGUGUUUUUCAGGAGGUGACCCUCAGACUGACAGUGAAUGAGUCCGAGCAUCAGUGGCUUCUGGAGCAGACCAGCCACGUGGAAGAGAAGCCUUACAGAGAUGGGUCGGCAGAGCCCUGCUGAUGGCUGGGCCUUGUGGGCAGCCACUCUGUGUGAGCAGGGUGUUGGGCCCACACACUCCAAAGACUAGAGCCCUGAACUGGGAGAGUGCUCCUGGCCCAGCCCCAGGUUGGGAAUCAUCUUUCGAGGCCCUUCAGACUGGGGCAGGGCUUACUGUGGCCUCCUUCCAGCUAGUGGUGUGGCUGAGCAGACUCCAGGGCCAGGGCCAGUUCCCUUCUCCCCUCCUGGCCAAACCCAGACCCAGACUCUAGGAAGCUGGAAUGGAGGGCAGGGAUCCAUGGGAGAUGUCGGGAUGAAGGUGGGAGCCGGAGGUGCAGGGGGACCUGGAGCAUGGAUGGGAGUGGACAGGCCUUUCUUCUUAGAGGCCAGAGGUGCUGCCCUGGCUGGGAGUGAAGCUCCAGGCACUACCAGCUUUCCUGGUUUUCCCAUUUGGUCUGUGUGAAGACCCACCAGGAGCCCCAGCCUCACAGUGUCCACUCAAGGGCAGCUUGGUCCUCUUGUCCUGCAGAAGCAGGCUGGUGUGACCCUGGGAACUUGACUCGGGAACAACAGGUGGUCCAGAGUGAGUGUGGCCUGGCCCCUCAACCUAGUGUCCCUCCUCCUCUCUCCUGGAGCCAGUCUUGAGUUUAAAGGCAUUAGUGUUAGAUACAGCUCCUUGUGGCUGGAGAACACCCCUCUGUUGAUGAAGCUCAGGGGGCACGGAGGAAGCAGAGGCCCCGUGGGGGUGCCCUCCUGAAGAGAGCGUCAGGCUAUCAGCUCUGUCCCUCUGGUGCUCCCACGUCUGUUCUUCACCCUCCAUCUCUGGGAGCAGCUGCACCUGACUGGCCAUGCCGGGGCAGCGGAGGCACAGGCUCAGGGUGGCCGGGCCACCUGGCACCCUAUGGCUUACAAAGUAGAGCUGGCCCAGAGGGGAGCACUCUGACUCCUAACAGUCUUCCUUGCCCUGCCAUCGUCUGGGGUGGCUGGCUGUCAAGAAAGGCUGGGCAUGCUUUCGAAACGGCCACAGGAGGCUUGUUGGGCAUUUUCCAGGUGGGGAAACAGUCUUUUAGAUAAGUAAGGUGACUUGCCUAAGCCCUCCCAGCCCCCUUGAUCUUGGAGUCUCACAGCAGAUUGCAUGUGAACAACUGAAACCGAACACAUGCCUCAGUGUAAAAUGAACAUUAUAAAACGAA
Nomascus leucogenys (northern white-cheeked gibbon) is the source of this 2193-nucleotide RNA transcript. It is a transcript of the gene named N-acetyltransferase 9 (putative), with no coding region annotated. The record is from RefSeq and is a predicted model, not a curated record. The transcript is spliced from 6 exons. Lineage: Eukaryota; Metazoa; Chordata; Mammalia; Primates; Hylobatidae.